This 253-nucleotide ribosomal RNA is filed under the name uncultured bacterium. RNAcentral describes it as "partial 16S ribosomal RNA". It matches the Rfam family "Bacterial small subunit ribosomal RNA", at positions 524 to 776 of the family's 1533-position model. The record is from RNAcentral.
UACGUAGGGUGCGAGCGUUAAUCGGAAUUACUGGGCGUAAAGCGUGCGCAGGCGGUGCACCAAGCUCGAUGUGAAAGCCCCGGGCUUAACCUGGGAAUUGCAUUGAGGACUGGUGUGCUCGAGUGCGGCAGAGGGGGGUGGAAUUCCACGUGUAGCAGUGAAAUGCGUAGAGAUGUGGAGGAACACCGAUGGCGAAGGCAGCCCCCUGGGCCGACACUGACGCUCAUGCACGAAAGCCAGGGGAGCAAACGGG